AUAAGAUUGGUCCUGUGUGCAUGAUUGUUGAAGCUGUGUGAUGGGUACAUGCGGGUACUCUCUACUUUUGUAUAUGUUUGAAACUUUCUAUACUGAAAAUCUUCAGGGUGGAGGGCAGAAAUACCUAUUUGGAAAGCCUAGAUAAUCAAUGCCUUAUUUAAAAUAGCUUCAGGGGAUGAUGGAGAAGUCUUUUUAAUAUGUGUGUGCAUUAAGACCUAGAUAGGAGCUUAACUGCUCCCUAUUAUACAACUAUCCUACACCCAGGGCUGGCUUCCUGAGCAGGCGCAUGGGCCCACACUCAAAAGGGCCCUGGUUUCUUGCUUUGCUUUCAAUCUCUGGAAAUUCUUCGUCACUUUCUAACAAAGGCGCCUCAUUUUUGCGUUGCACUGGGUCCCACAAGUGCUGUCUCCAGUCCUGCCUAGAUCUCAUUUUCCAGUCCCCUUAGGUAUAUCACCGUCUGGUAUUGGAAAGCUUUGGCCUCUGAAACCAGGUUGAGGAAGCUUUCUUUUAGGAAGAGCUGGGGCACACCUAAGUCCAGGCUGCUGGCUUCAAGCAGACAUUCCUCCCCUUCUUGCACUCUUCCCUACUUGAUAAAUAUGUUCCCAUAUAAGUUUGUUGUGCUCUGAUUUUUAGUAGAAGCCUUCUCAGAAACAUCCCUUCCAACCUCUCCCUCUACUCCUUAGAUUUCCUCAGGUUUGAUGCUUUGCUAGAAGGACUUACAGAACUCAGGAAAGUGCUUUACUUAUAUUUACCAGAUUAUUCUAGAGGACACAGCACAGUAACAGCCACAUGGAAGAAAUACAUAGGAAAGGGCGGUGGGAGAACCUGAGGACAGGAUCUCUGAAGGAAUAGUAACAUGGUGUACAGGAAGAAUUGAUGUUUGCUGGGAACCUGACACACUCCAAGCCUGAGGUCCCUGAGCAACUUCCCACCUCACUCCAUCCCUCCUUCUCCCCUACCCACUUACUCUCAGGUAGAGAGCAAGCCUCACACACAACCUGGGGAGAGUCCAGGCUGCAGUGCAAGGGCAGAGUAAAGAACUCCAGGCUGAAAAUGCAUCAAGUCGGGGAGCUCCACCUGCCUGAGGAAGAGCUCCUCCAUCAGACCACACCUCCUGCCAAACAGACAUACCUGGGGACCAGGUGAGCAGGUGAUGGAAGAGGAUACCAUGUUUCCUGUUGAAACAUGAAUGGUACCUAUCAUGGUAAAUCUAUUCAUCAUCCCGUAUCAUAGUAUUCUCUAUUCAGAAGCUGUCUGGACAUGGGGAGUUAUUCACUUGUCCUGUGGCCCUGGGCUGAGACAGUGACUGCUCAGGGUAGAACAAGAGUGCAAGGAAAAGUUGAGAUGGGAGAUAGCCGGCCUCUGUUUUAGGACAUGACAAAGAAGGAAUAAGGGACUUCAUGAAUGAGUGUGUGUGAAUGGGAAUGGGGUGGCAUUGGGAGGAGCUGCUAAGAAAAGCAAAAGUUCAUGGAAGAGAAAGGUGUCCCGUAUUUAGGCUUCCUUUGAUUCCCAGUUCCGAUUUUAAAUAUGACUUUUUAAAGAGUGUUGUUAAUAAUAACAUACAAGGAUAAUAUGAAGAGUAGAAACAAUAGUUAUGGUGUCCCAGAUCUGCUAAGAACCUUAUGAACAAUAGUCUCAUAUGUUUCUGAUAAUAGCCUUAGAAUUUAAGUGUGGUUAUUUUCUCUAUUUCCUUGAUGAGGAAAUUAAGGAAAACGAUUCAGUAACUCGUUGCCAGGGUUUCUUAGCCAAUAAGUGCUGGCACGAGGCUUCAAACCCAGUCGCAUCAGAUUCUGGAGUGCGUGUUCUGGCCAGGGCACUCCCCUUGUGAGUCUCAGCCUAGAUGCUUCACUGGAAGAUCUGAUGGGGGUUGGAGUGGGCCUGGAAGCUUGUGGUAGUUCUGAACACCCAGUGUCUUGAAUGGUCAGAGGAGGUGGUUCCUGCACUGGGAGAGAGAUUGUGCUUGAUGAUCUCUGAGUAGGCUGGCCACAUAAUACACCCUGGGGACUGAGACAUAAUGGGGAGGAAAAGGAGCUUUACUAAUCAUUAAGCUUGGACAAGGCCAUAGACUAAGAAUAAAUCUAAGAUUCAUCAGGCCAAAAUACGUGGCAUUCCUCAAGGACCUCAUGUCUUCAUGGACCUCCCAAUCUUCUUUUUUCUUGAAUAGCCUGGACGCUCUGGGGUUUGGCAUUAUUCAGUCCUCCUAGACCCUCUACACAUAUCUCCCACCAUAAAUGAAGCAGAAAUGUGGGGUGAUGGUGUUCAGGGUCUCUGGAGUGUGGGUGAUGGGGAGGAAGUGAGACUGCUUAGUGUGGGGCACUAUUCUGGGUAUGGAAGUGAUGAUAACCCAUGUGGGAAAGGUAUGAAGGUUGUAGGUUCAGGUAUGAAAGAAUGAAUAUGAACUAAAGGGAAUUGUGAGGAAAAUACAUACAGGUGGUCUUUGUUUUGCAUGUGUCCCAUAUGCAUGAAUAUAAGUUACCAUGGAUUAGUUAAAUGACACCAGCCCCUCAAUAACAUAGUUCAAAUUUUGGUUACCAUGGUAUAUGUAUUAUGGAUAGUUACAUAAAGAUGACCUUUGCUACUAGCUCUUCGGUCCACAAAUCAACAUGUAAAUAAUUUAUGCUUAUCAAUCAGUUAUCAAUCAUGUCAUUUCUUUCAAAGUCUGGCACUGUGCCUCUGUUCAUUAGUUCACUCACAGACAACAAAGCAUUUAGGUGUGUUGCUUCCUUGUCUCCUGGGAACAUAUUCACAUGAUUCAGGAACUCUCGGAUAGACUGCAUGAUACCAAGAGUGCAAAGGGUAAAAUGUUGGAAGCUGAUCCAAACAUAGAAAGAAGUAUAGCAAUCUAUUCAGGGAGUGAAUAAAAUACCUAGGAAUCCAACUUACAGGGGAUGUGAAGGACCUCUUCAAGGAGAACUACAAACCACUGCUCAAUGAAAUAAAAGAGGACACAAACAAAUGGAAGAAAAUUCCAUCCUCAUGGAUAGAAAGAAUUAAUAUUGUGAAAAUGGCCAUACUGCCCAAGGUAAUUUAUAGAUUCAAUGCAAUCCCUAUCAAGUUACCAAUGACUUUUUUCACAGAAUUGGAAAAAACUACUUUAAAGUUCAUAUGGAACCAAAAAAGAGCCCGCAUUCCCAAGACAAUCCUAAGCAAAAAUAACAAAGCUGGAAGCAUCACACUACCUGACUUCAAACUAUACUACAAGGCUACAGUAACCAAAACAGCAUGGUACUGGUACCAAAACAGAGAUAUAAACCAAUGGAACAGAAUAGAGCCCUCGGAAUCUGGGAGGCAGCCCCACAUGAUGCUCAGGGUAAAUUUAGUACAUAAGUGGAGCUAAUAAUUUUGGUCUCUGUACAUCAAUUAUGUUCUUAUGCAAUAGCAGUCAUAAACUUUUCCUAGUGGAACCAAGCCCCAUAAAUGCAUAAACCCAGGAUUUUGUUUUACAAAAAACAGCCAGGACAGAACAUAUACACCAGGCUAAAUUGUUCCAUUGGAAAGGACCCACCACGAUCUUUUCCAGAGGAAACACCAUUAGGAUGUUCAAUAAGCAUAAAUUUCCACUAGAAAAUUUGACCAGAUCCUUAUUUUCUUUUUCGCAACCUCUCUUCCUAUAUUCUCCAGCUGAUAGUACUUUUUUUUCCAAAAUCACAUUUUGUGUUAUAUUUGUUAAUAACACAUUCUUUAAGUCUGCAAAAAUCAGAGAGGUGUUAGUAAGUUGAUGAGUCAAAGAAAUUUAUUCUUUGGCAUCUGCAAUAAUUCGUUUGUAUCCCAUUUCCAUUAUUUUCUACACCGUCCACAGCCCCUUUUCUGGCACAAUUAUGAUGGGGUGAUGUAGGAUUGGGAAUCAUGGGCACCCCUGGCAUUCCUCAGCCACUGUGUGAGAGGCAUAUGCUGAGCAUCCUGGUGAUGGGGGUAACACAGCAAAGUGAGUCAGUUUGGGGUCUGGGUACAACAUGGAACCACUUGUUCAUGCACCUCACUCCUCCAGUGCUGCGGUGCAAGCCUGUCUUCCAUGCACGGGGAACGGGAGCUCUCAUGCAUCAUAGCUGUGCACUCAAGGUGUAGAUUUCAGGCAGGCUUUCUGUCUAUGGAAGCAUGGGGGUUCUUGGCCCUUCCUCUCCAGCAGCUGCUUUCUGGUCCAGCAGACCAUCCUGCAUUAAUUCACAGGUGGUAUCAUCCUUUGCCUACUAGUACAUAUCUUCUGAGUGCCUGCUCUGCCCACUCAGCACGUGCUGUGCAGAGUGCUCUGGUUCACUGAAGAUCUGACUGUUAAGGUCUCUGCCAUGAAGGGUUGUCUAAAUGGAGGAGAGAACCUGCCACCCCCACCUGGAUUAUUUUGUCUAGCAUCCAAGCUGGAAAGCCCUGGUCUUGUUCCAUGCUCUUCCUCUCCUUGGCUAGAUCUCAGGAGUGCUGAGUAUCUAGAGGCUUGAUUGUUUUUAUCAAGCAUGAUGAAUUAGCUAAAGACAUUUUAGAGAAUAUCAGUAGAAAAUUAUAAUUUAAAAAAAGUGAAAAGUAUUUUGUACUCUAAGUGUCUUACCUGUCACACCCUAGUCCAGGCCCUACAGGUAGUAUGUGUGGAAAUUCUGAGCCUUCCAGCCUAGUGCUAGAGCAGUAAGUGAGAGCCUCUAUCUACAUAAACCCAGCUUGAUUCCAAUUCCUCUGUGUUUCAGCGACUGAAAAAUAAGGGUAUCAAAAGUAGCAGGAAUUGUUUCUUACUUUGCAAAAUAAUCUAUCACCUGUAAGGCCUCUGUUACUUUUGUUGUUUAGAUAGCAUUUGCUGUGUACUUGAUGUGUUUUUGAUAGACUGAAGACAUAUCUUAAGUGACAUAUUGAAUGGUAGUAGCAGAUACAGAUCCUGCUAUAUGGAUAAUACUGAAUAAGUAUUUGCUAUUAUGACUACUCCCAGCAUUGCCAAAACCAAUUCAGUAAUGGGAGGGCCAUGGUCCUGACUAUAAGCUCAAACACAGAGAGGGUCGAAAGAAGAGUGAAAGGCCUGGACUUCACCUAUGAGGAACAGGACGGGGCUUCAGGGAUGUCCUUUAUUCUUGGCAGCUCCAAAGGGGCUGGCUCUGUGGAAAUCUUUCCUGAGCCUGGACAGUGGUGAAACACCCACUGGCGAGUGUGUAAAAGGAAGCUUCUGCCCACAGCCUGGGAGCAGCUCAGUCCAGACUCUCCAGCCUGCUCUCAUCUGCACACUGAAGCAGCCUGUCUUAGCCUUUCCGGAGCACUUAGCUGCCUGGUUCCAGCCACCCUGCUGUGUCUUUCUUACCUCCCAGACUGAGAUGGACAAGUUCCCGCUCAUGCUCCUGCUGCUGGGGGUUUUUCCUCUUGUGUUCUUCCAAGGUGUGAGUGAGGGUUUGGGCUGGCUGGGGCAGGAGGUGAGAACAGGGGCGAAGAUAGCUGGCGAGCAGGCUGAAGAUGAUCUGGCCAGCACGGGAGGAGGUCAACACCAAGAUUCUGGGAUGAUCUGACCAACAAGAAUUGGAGGUGUCUCUCUGCUGUCCCCACCUCAACUCCUACCAGGGCAAGAGGUCAGGCCUCUUCCCGAGGUUUCACUCACUUGGGAAAAUCAAGGCUGGUGUGUGUUUCUCAACAUGGGGCGUUGAGGCUGUCUGGCUGGGAUUAUGUGGCAGAGCCAAUGAUUGCUCAAGGCUUUCUAUAUAGAAGCAACCUAGGGACAGUGGUCUAGUAGGUAGAAGUCACUGAAGGGCUUAUCCUAAACCAGUGUUUCCAUAGCAAACAUCCUGUACAAUCUUUCCAUGGCAAGUUUCACUUAGAUAUGUUUGGAUAUCAGAUACCUCUUUAGCAGGGUGUGGUGGGAAACUUUGUGAGAAUGCCUCUCUUCCUUGAAGCCAGCACAGUCUUUAUGCCUCUUUCAUUUCCCAAGAGAUCAUCAACCUCAGAGAAGUUGUAUGUAGAUGCUCUGACUGUGCUCUGCACAAAGGCACCACUGUCAAAGGGAUACCUUUUCUUUUAUUUUCAAUAAAAUUAAAUCACUUUACCAAAUCUCCAGCUCCUUAAGGAACUAAUGGACAAAAUCUGAUGGGAACAUUUCCACCUUCUAAGAUUAUGCUGGGAGAUGUUCUUAGGGUUAUUCUUUGCCCUUGAACUCCUGGGCCCUAAUAGUGGCCUAGCCCACCUUGGUCUCAGCCCAUUCAGCCCUGGGCACAGCCUUCACGUUUAUUUUCUACAGGUGAUGCCACAAUGUGCAUGGUGUGCAAGCUUUUUAAGAGAGGCCAGUUUAAUAGGCAAGGGCAACUGCACUGUGAACCAUGGCUCUGGAUGCAGAACCAGGGAUUUCUUCAUUUUUGCUGAGACAGGUAAUGCUGUGAGCCAGUCUGAGAGAGCCUUGCUGGGUGGUGAAUGCAUUCGGGGACCAGACGUGGCAUGGAUGGGGAAGGUCUCCCCACUUUGAGGUAAAGUAUUGUUUCUGGCACUAAAUGUGAAUGCCUGUCUUCCAGGUGGGUGGUUCUAUAAUCACACGGAAUUGAACUGCUUAAAUACAUGUGCGCCUUCACAUAUGUAUCUUAUGACCUGAAGGUUUCAACCUUUUGCUGUAAAGAUCAAGACUUCUGUAAUAGAAAUAAAGGACAAUUAAUGACCACGAAGACUGACUGACCAUCACUUCCUUGGCAGUGGUGGUUUGCCCUUCACCUCUUUCUGUGCCAGUAUCUCUGGUGUGCUCCCCCUCCCCACGUGCUCCUGCUGAGCCUGCAGGAUCCUGGAGUGCCCUCCAAGUAUCCCUCCUCACUUCUCUCCAGGCUACUGGCUCCAUCCUUCUGACGCCAAAUACUCUCAGUUCACCCUGUGAUAUUGUUGCGAUGUUUGUCCCCUCUAAAUCUCAUGUUGAAAUGUGAUCCCCAAUAUUGGAGGUGAGGUCUGAUGAAAGGUGUUUUGGUCAUGGGAGCAGAUUUCUCAUGAAUGGCUUGAUGCCCUCCUCAUGGGAAUGAGUGAGUUCUCACUGUAUUAGUUGACAUGAGAGCUGUGGUUUAAAAGAGCCUGGCACCUCCUCUCCUCUCUCUUGCUUUGUUUCUUACCAUGUGGCACCCCUGCUCCCCCUUUGCCUUCUGCCAUGAAUAAAAGCUUUCUGAGGCCUCACCAGAAGCCAAGCAGAUGCUGCUUCCAUGUUUGUGCAGCCAGUAUAGCCAUGAGCCAAAAUAAACCUUUUUUCCUUAUAAA
Molecule: long non-coding RNA, 7179 nt
Organism: Homo sapiens (human)
Lineage: Eukaryota; Metazoa; Chordata; Mammalia; Primates; Hominidae
Exons: 2
Source: RefSeq, a predicted model, not a curated record